This 75-nucleotide transfer RNA is filed under the name Desulfurococcales archaeon. RNAcentral's name for it is "tRNA-Val". It matches the Rfam family "tRNA". Rfam says of the family: Transfer RNA (tRNA) molecules are approximately 80 nucleotides in length. Lineage: Archaea; Thermoproteati; Thermoproteota; Thermoprotei; Desulfurococcales. The record is from RNAcentral.
GGGCCCGUCGUCUAGCCUGGUUAGGACGCCGCCCUCACACGGCGGAGGCCCUGGGUUCGAGUCCCAGCGGGCCCA